This 271-nucleotide ribosomal RNA is filed under the name uncultured bacterium. Its description in RNAcentral is "partial 16S ribosomal RNA". It matches the Rfam family "Bacterial small subunit ribosomal RNA", at positions 524 to 794 of the family's 1533-position model. The record is from RNAcentral.
GACAGAGGUGGCAAGCGUUGUUCGGAUUUAUUGGGCGUAAAGCGAACGCAGGUGGUUUGGUAAGUCAGGAGUGAAAGUCCGCAGCUUAACUGCGGCACUGCCUUUGAUACUGCCUUUCUUGAGUGCAUGAGGGGGAAGCGGAAUUCCGAGUGUAGAGGUGAAAUUCGUAGAUAUUCGGAGGAACACCGGUGGCGAAGGCGGCUUCCUGGCAUGUAACUGACACUGAGGUGCGAAAGCGUGGGGAGCAAACAGGAUUAGAAACCCCUGUAGU